CUACCAAAAGUUAAUUCUUGCAGGGGAAGGUUUUUGGUAACCUUUACCAACUUUUGGCUAUUUGGGAGAAUAAAGACCACACUCCACAGUGAGCUUAUACCACUUUAUAUAGUUCACUACUAUUUUGUGGCCUACAUU
Cynocephalus volans (Philippine flying lemur) is the source of this 138-nucleotide small nucleolar RNA. RefSeq annotates it as small nucleolar RNA SNORA4. Lineage: Eukaryota; Metazoa; Chordata; Mammalia; Dermoptera; Cynocephalidae. The record is from RefSeq and is a predicted model, not a curated record. The transcript has a single exon.